RNAcentral lists this transfer RNA (92 nucleotides) under Verticillium alfalfae VaMs.102. Its description in RNAcentral is "tRNA-Pro". Lineage: Eukaryota; Fungi; Ascomycota; Sordariomycetes; Glomerellales; Plectosphaerellaceae. The record is from RNAcentral.
GCGCCGUUGGUCUAGUGGUAUGAUUCUCGCUUAGGGCUACACCCUGAAGCAUUGCUUGCGAGAGGUCCCGGGUUCAAUCCCCGGAUGGCGCC